This 1422-nucleotide ribosomal RNA is filed under the name uncultured prokaryote. RNAcentral's name for it is "partial 16S ribosomal RNA". It matches the Rfam family "Bacterial small subunit ribosomal RNA". The record is from RNAcentral.
CUACACAUGCAGUCGAACGCGAAAGUCCGCUAGCAGGCGUCGAGUGGCGGACGGGUGAGUAAUGCAUAGGAAUCUACCUAGUAGUGGGGGACAACCUGGUGAAAACCAGGCUAAUACCGCAUAAUCCCUACGGGGCAAAGCAGGGGACCUCUUCGGGCCUUGCGCUAAUAGAUGAGCCUAUGUCGGAUUAGCUAGUUGGUGAGGUAAUGGCUCACCAAGGCGACGAUCCGUAGCUGGUUUGAGAGGAUGAUCAGCCACACUGGGACUGAGUCACGGCCCAGACUCCUACGGGAGGCAGCGGUGGGGAAGAUUGCACAAUGGACGAAAGUCUGAUGCAGCAAUGCCGCGUGUGUGAAGAAGGCCUUAGGGUUGUAAAGCACUUUCAGUAGGGAGGAAAAGUAAGUAGUUAAUAACUGCUUACCCUGACGUUACCUACAGAAGAAGCACCGGCUAACUCCGUGCCAGCAGCCGCGGUAAUACGGAGGGUGCAAGCGUUAAUCGGAAUUACUGGGCGUAAAGCGCGCGUAGGCGGUUAGAUAAGUCAGAUGUGAAAGCCCCGGGCUCAACCUGGGAACUGCAUUUGAAACUGUUUAACUAGAGUGUGGUAGAGGAGAGUGGAAUUUCAGGUGUAGCGGUGAAAUGCGUAGAUAUCUGAAGGAACACCAGUGGCGAAGGCGGCUCUCUGGACCAACACUGACGCUGAGGUGCGAAAGCGUGGGUAGCAAACGGGAUUAGAUACCCCGGUAGUCCACGCCGUAAACGAUGUCUACUAGCCGUUGGAAUCCUUAGAGGUUUUAGUGGCGCAGCUAACGCAAUAAGUAGACCGCCUGGGGAGUACGGCCGCAAGGCUAAAACUCAAAUGAAUUGACGGGGGCCCGCACAAGCGGUGGAGCAUAUGGUUUAAUUCGAUGCAAUGCGAAGAACCUUACCUACUCUUGACAUCCUCGGAACUUAGCAGAGAUGCUUUGGUGCCUUCGGGAACCGAGUGACAGGUGCUGCAUGGCUGUCGUCAGCUCGUGUCGUGAGAUGUUGGGUUAAGUCCCGUAACGAGCGCAACCCUUGUCCUUAUUUGCCAGCACGUAAUGGUGGGAACUCUAAGGAGACUGCCGGUGAUAAACCGGAGGAAGGCGGGGACGACGUCAAGUCAUCAUGGCCCUUACGGGGUGGGUUAUACACGUGCUACAAUGGUCGGUAUAGAGGGUUGCGAAGUCGCGAGGCGGAGCCAAUCCCAGAAAGCCGAUCGUAGUCCGGAUUGCAGUCUGUAAUUUGACUGCAUGAAGUUGGAAUCGCUUGUAAUCGCGAAUCAGAACGUCGCGGUGAAUACGUUCCCGGGCCUUGUACACACCGCCCGUCACACCAUGGGAGUGGGUUGCAAAAGAAGUGGGUAGUCUAACCUUCGGGAGGGCGCUCACCACUUUGUGA